This 206-nucleotide long non-coding RNA is filed under the name Elaeis guineensis (African oil palm). RNAcentral's name for it is "long non-coding RNA (EGUI_LNC070647)". The record is from RNAcentral. Lineage: Eukaryota; Viridiplantae; Streptophyta; Magnoliopsida; Arecales; Arecaceae.
ACUUUUCCUCUAUCCAUUAUCUAAAAAAUGACUAACUGAGGUCAAGUUAACACUUUUGGUAUUCAAGAUGUGACUAGGUUAAGUAACUUAUGACAGUGCUAAAAAGUGACAAAAAUUAUCGGUCCAAUAUUCCAUAUCUUCUAUGAUAAUGAAGAAGUGAAAAAUUGGGAUAUGGUGGAAAAUGUUGAAUGCCCUUCUCAGCCAGC